This 122-nucleotide ribosomal RNA is filed under the name Saccharopolyspora hordei. The record is from RNAcentral. Lineage: Bacteria; Bacillati; Actinomycetota; Actinomycetes; Pseudonocardiales; Pseudonocardiaceae.
UGUGUCGGCGGUGUCUUACUCUCCCACACCCUACCGAGUGCAGUACCAUCAGCGCUGGGGAGCUUAGCUACCGGGUUCGGAAUGGGACCGGGCGGACCCUCCCCGCUAUCGCCACCGACAAC